Molecule: ribosomal RNA, 1530 nt
Filed under: Escherichia coli KOEGE 70 (185a)
Lineage: Bacteria; Pseudomonadati; Pseudomonadota; Gammaproteobacteria; Enterobacterales; Enterobacteriaceae
Description: bacterial SSU rRNA
Rfam family: Bacterial small subunit ribosomal RNA
Source: RNAcentral
AGAGUUUGAUCAUGGCUCAGAUUGAACGCUGGCGGCAGGCCUAACACAUGCAAGUCGAACGGUAACAGGAAUCAGCUUGCUGCUUUGCUGACGAGUGGCGGACGGGUGAGUAAUGUCUGGGAAACUGCCUGAUGGAGGGGGAUAACUACUGGAAACGGUAGCUAAUACCGCAUAACGUCGCAAGACCAAAGAGGGGGACCUUCGGGCCUCUUGCCAUCGGAUGUGCCCAGAUGGGAUUAGCUAGUAGGUGGGGUAAAGGCUCACCUAGGCGACGAUCCCUAGCUGGUCUGAGAGGAUGACCAGCCACACUGGAACUGAGACACGGUCCAGACUCCUACGGGAGGCAGCAGUGGGGAAUAUUGCACAAUGGGCGCAAGCCUGAUGCAGCCAUGCCGCGUGUAUGAAGAAGGCCUUCGGGUUGUAAAGUACUUUCAGCGGGGAGGAAGGGAGUAAAGUUAAUACCUUUGCUCAUUGACGUUACCCGCAGAAGAAGCACCGGCUAACUCCGUGCCAGCAGCCGCGGUAAUACGGAGGGUGCAAGCGUUAAUCGGAAUUACUGGGCGUAAAGCGCACGCAGGCGGUUUGUUAAGUCAGAUGUGAAAUCCCCGGGCUCAACCUGGGAACUGCAUCUGAUACUGGCAAGCUUGAGUCUCGUAGAGGGGGGUAGAAUUCCAGGUGUAGCGGUGAAAUGCGUAGAGAUCUGGAGGAAUACCGGUGGCGAAGGCGGCCCCCUGGACGAAGACUGACGCUCAGGUGCGAAAGCGUGGGGAGCAAACAGGAUUAGAUACCCUGGUAGUCCACGCCGUAAACGAUGUCGACUUGGAGGUUGUGCCCUUGAGGCGUGGCUUCCGGAGCUAACGCGUUAAGUCGACCGCCUGGGGAGUACGGCCGCAAGGUUAAAACUCAAAUGAAUUGACGGGGGCCCGCACAAGCGGUGGAGCAUGUGGUUUAAUUCGAUGCAACGCGAAGAACCUUACCUGGUCUUGACAUCCACGGAACUUUCCAGAGAUGGAUUGGUGCCUUCGGGAACCGUGAGACAGGUGCUGCAUGGCUGUCGUCAGCUCGUGUUGUGAAAUGUUGGGUUAAGUCCCGCAACGAGCGCAACCCUUAUCCUUUGUUGCCAGCGGUCCGGCCGGGAACUCAAAGGAGACUGCCAGUGAUAAACUGGAGGAAGGUGGGGAUGACGUCAAGUCAUCAUGGCCCUUACGACCAGGGCUACACACGUGCUACAAUGGCGCAUACAAAGAGAAGCGACCUCGCGAGAGCAAGCGGACCUCAUAAAGUGCGUCGUAGUCCGGAUUGGAGUCUGCAACUCGACUCCAUGAAGUCGGAAUCGCUAGUAAUCGUGGAUCAGAAUGCCACGGUGAAUACGUUCCCGGGCCUUGUACACACCGCCCGUCACACCAUGGGAGUGGGUUGCAAAAGAAGUAGGUAGCUUAACCUUCGGGAGGGCGCUUACCACUUUGUGAUUCAUGACUGGGGUGAAGUCGUAACAAGGUAACCGUAGGGGAACCUGCGGUUGGAUCACCU